AUAAAUAUCAUGAUUUGCCAUUUUUUCCUUAUAUAUGUGGAACGUAUUUUCAUGUAAAAUUUUAUUUUGAAAAAUUAAAAUUUGCUGAAUCGGAUUAUUAUAAAGAGUUGAUUGAAUUAGCAAGAUUAGGGUUAAGUAAAGAACAGAGUAAACAAAUAUAUGAUCAUAAUACAACUAAAGAAAGUGAACUUAGGGAAACUACUAUUACACUUACAGAGAAAAACCAAGGAAAAUAUGAUUACAUUAGGGAAAGAGUACAUAGUAAUGUACAUAUAAGUAACAACAUGGAAACAGCUGAAUAUAAAAAAAACAGUAAUAUCACUAACAUUAGUUACAAUAAAAACAAAUUGUUUUGUAUUGUUUUGUGUCCUACACGUGAUUUAGCAAUGCAAACGUAUAAUAAUUAUUUAAUUUAUGCAAAAUGCUUUGAAGAAGAAACUUUUUGUAUAGAUAUUGGAUUGUUAAUUGGAGGAGAACAGCCUAAGAGAGAUUAUUAUAAUAACAAAAAAAGAAAAGAAAAAUCACAAGCUUAUAAUAUAUUAAUAUGUACAUGUUUUAAAUUACUGGAAAGUAUAAAAAAAAAUACUAUAGAUUUACGUGAUGUACAUUUAUUAAUACUAGACGAAGCAGAUGAAAUUAUUAAUAUGGACGAAACAUCAGUUUUGCAAAUAAAAGAAAGUUGUAUAAAAUAUAGCUCAAAUAUACAAACUUGUUUUUUUUCUGCCACCUUACAAGAUAAUAAUGUUAAACAUUGUAUUAGUAAAAUAACGAACAAACCGAUAUUUGUUGAUUUAAAAUAUGGUAAGAAUAGUAUCCCUAAUCAUAUAUACGUGUGUAUAUACUAUGUAAAAGGUAGUUAUAUAGGAACUAAUAAACAUAGUAAUAACAAAGGUGACACACAAAACUCAUAUUACAACGAUGUGAUGUAUAACGAAAAGCUAGAAAAACUAGGAUACGAUGACUUAUACGAAUAUACAGACAAAGUUCAUUUACUUCAUCCAAAACCCAAAGAAAUAGAUAAAAUAUCAUUAGAUUUAAAAAUGAA
This 1045-nucleotide long non-coding RNA is filed under the name Piliocolobus tephrosceles (Ugandan red Colobus). Its description in RNAcentral is "lncRNA (ENSPTEG00000007132.1)". Lineage: Eukaryota; Metazoa; Chordata; Mammalia; Primates; Cercopithecidae. The record is from RNAcentral.